Molecule: non-coding RNA, 72 nt
Filed under: Candidatus Omnitrophota bacterium
Lineage: Bacteria; Pseudomonadati; Candidatus Omnitrophota
Source: RNAcentral
AGCCGAAACGCUCAUCAAAACGAUGGGCGUCUGCGAUGACAUAGGAGCAUCGUACUGAUGAGGCAUCCUAGU